CAGAGUGUAGCUAAAUUAGAAAAGCAUCUCCCUUACACUGAGAAGUUAUCCGUGCAAGUCGGAUCACCCUGA
This 72-nucleotide transfer RNA is filed under the name Alepes kleinii (razorbelly scad). RNAcentral's name for it is "tRNA-Val". It matches the Rfam family "tRNA". From Rfam's summary of the family: Transfer RNA (tRNA) molecules are approximately 80 nucleotides in length. Their secondary structure includes four short double-helical elements and three loops (D, anti-codon, and T loops). Lineage: Eukaryota; Metazoa; Chordata; Actinopteri; Carangiformes; Carangidae. The record is from RNAcentral.